UGGGGAAUAUUGCACAAUGGGCGCAAGCCUGAUGCAGCCAUGCCGCGUGUAUGAAGAAGGCCUUCGGGUUGUAAAGUACUUUCAGCGGGGAGGAAGGGAGUAAAGUUAAUACCUUUGCUCAUUGACGUUACCCACAGAAGAAGCACCGGCUAACUCCGUGCCAGCAGCCGCGGUAAUACGGAGGGUGCAAGCGUUAAUCGGAAUUACUGGGCGUAAAGCGCACGCAGGCGGUUUGUUAAGUCAGAUGUGAAAUCCUCGGGCUCAACCUGGGAACUGCAUCUGAUACUGGCAAGCUUGAGUCUCGUAGAGGGGGGUAGAAUUCCAGGUGUAGCGGUGAAAUGCGUAGAGAUCUGGAGGAAUACCGGUGGCGAAGGCGGCCCCCUGGACGAAGACUGACGCUCAGGUGCGAAAGCGUGGGGAGCAAACAGG
RNAcentral lists this ribosomal RNA (429 nucleotides) under Chloroflexota bacterium. RNAcentral describes it as "Chloroflexi bacterium partial 16S ribosomal RNA". It matches the Rfam family "Bacterial small subunit ribosomal RNA", at positions 355 to 776 of the family's 1533-position model. Lineage: Bacteria; Bacillati; Chloroflexota. The record is from RNAcentral.